UGCACUCGUUUGGUCUGGUUCAUGUACAC
This 29-nucleotide non-coding RNA is filed under the name Rattus norvegicus (Norway rat). Lineage: Eukaryota; Metazoa; Chordata; Mammalia; Rodentia; Muridae. The record is from RNAcentral.